ANUGGGCACGCCUGACGCAGCGACGCCGCGUGAGCGAAGAAGGCCUUCGGGUUGUAAAGCUCUGUUGGGGGGAAAGAAGCCAAUGACGGUACCCCCUGAGGAAGCCCCGGCUAACUCCGUGCCAGCAGCCGCGGUAAGACGGAGGGGGCAAGCGUUGUCCGGAAUUACUGGGCGUAAAGGGCGCGUAGGCGGCGCUUUAAGUCGGUUGUGAAAGCCCCGGGCUCAACCCGGGGAGGCCAGCCGAGACUGGGGCGCUUGAGGGCAGGAGAGGGAAGUGGAACUGCCGGUGUAGCGGUGGAAUGCGUAGAUAUCGGCAGGAACACCCGCGGCGAAGGCGGCUUCCUGGACUGCUCCUGACGCUGAGGCGCGAAAGCCAGGGGAGCGAACGGGAUUAGAUACCCCGGUAGUCCUGGCCCUAAACGAUGGUCACUAGGUGUCGGGGGUAUCGACCCCCCCGGUGCCGCAGCCAACGCAUUAAGUGACCCGCCUGGGGAGUACGGCCGCAAGGUUGAAACUCAAAAAAAUUGACGGA
RNAcentral lists this ribosomal RNA (532 nucleotides) under uncultured bacterium. RNAcentral's name for it is "partial 16S ribosomal RNA". It matches the Rfam family "Bacterial small subunit ribosomal RNA", at positions 370 to 917 of the family's 1533-position model. The record is from RNAcentral.